AAAAACACAGGUCUGUGCGAAGGCGUAAGCCGACGUAUACGGGCUGAGGCCUGCCCAGUGCCAGAAGGUUAACUGAGAGGAUAACCCCGAUUUAUUCGGGCUAGUCUUUGAUUGAAGCCCUGGUGAACGGCAGCAGUAACUAUAACUGUUCUAUGGUAGCGAAAUUCCUUGUCGGGCAAGUUCCGACCUGCACGAAUGGCGUAACAACUUUGGAACUGUCUUGAGGAGGGACUCGGCGAAAUUGAAAUGGCUGUGAAGAUGCGGCCUACUGACAACAGGACAAAAAGACCCCGUGGAGCUUUACUGUACCUUGACACUGAAUUUUAUGUUUUGACUGUGUAGCAUAGGCGGGAGCCGCAAGGCGACAAGUGUAAUACCGCUCUUUGAAACGUGAGAUUCUUACUUAUCCCUCUGGAUCGAGGGAGAGGACACUGUCUGGGAGGCAGUUUAACUGGGGAGGUUGCUUGCUAAAGAGUACCGCAAGCGCGCAAUGGUAUCCUAAUUCCGGAUGGAAAUCGGAAUGAUAGUGCAAGGGCAUAAGGAUGCCUGACUGUGAGACAUACAAGUCAAGCAGAGACGAAAGUCGGACCUAGUGAUCCUCGUGUACUUCGUGGGAGGUACCGGGCUUAUCGGAUAAAAGCUACCCCGGGGAUAACAGAGUAGUUGCACCUGAGCGUCCACAGCGACGGUGCAGUUCGCUACCUCAACAUAUCGGGGUCCAUAGAUUGUAAAAUCUAUGUGCUGUUUAGAUAUGAAAUAAUCUAAGAAAACUAACUCAUAACGGUGAAACCUUCAUUCAAAAGAACCAAUUUGAUUUUGCGAACAUUUAAAAUCAAGUUACUGAAUAUGGUAAUACCGUGGGAAGUCGUUCCAAUUUAUUGGGAUUGACCCCGUAUCGACUGGAGGUCCCGCUAAGCGGGACUGAAGAUAGGGAUAUUUAUCUCUAUAAAACGUUAGCAUCCGCCUCAGGCGGAUGAAGGUAUAGUCAAAAUUGAUUGGAAACAAUCAAAUCAUCAAUUGAGCGAUGUCGGCUCAGCGCAUCCUGGGGCUGGAGAAGGUCCCAAGGGUUGGUCUGUUCGCCCAUUAAAGCGCUACGUGAGCUGGGUUCAGACCGUCGUGAGACAGGUCGGUCUCUAUCCGUUGUCAGCGUUGGAAUUUUGAGGGGGGUUGUCCUCAGUACGAGAGGACCAGGAUGAGCCAUCCGCUAGUGUUUCUGUUGUAGCCGUCAGGCGCAUAGCAGAGUAGCUACGAUGGUGAGUGAUAACCGCUGAAAGCAUCUAAGCGGGAAGCACGCCCCAAGAUGAGAAUUCCUGUACGACGCAAGUCGUACGAAGAUCCCCAGAAGACCACUGGGUUAUCGGCAGGAAGUGUACGCACAGCAAUGUGUUUAGCUAACCUGUCCGUAUGAUCAAACGAAUAGCUUGA
RNAcentral lists this ribosomal RNA (1425 nucleotides) under Anaerolineales bacterium. Its description in RNAcentral is "partial 23S ribosomal RNA". It matches the Rfam family "Bacterial large subunit ribosomal RNA", at positions 1809 to 2925 of the family's 2925-position model. The record is from RNAcentral. Lineage: Bacteria; Bacillati; Chloroflexota; Anaerolineae; Anaerolineales.